CAUGGUACUGCAGUACUACUGGAGCUAGACCAUAGUGAAACUAACUGUACAUAGUACUGCAGUACUACUUGAACUAAACCUUAGUGAGACUAUCUGUACAACGUACUGCAGUACAACUUGAGCUAAGCCUUAGUGAAACCAGUGUAUAUGUGCAUGGUUCUGCUCCAUUACUAAGGCUUUGACACACUCACUGUUUAGGCAAUCUGUUUUUCUGUUUCCUCUGCCAUGACAAUUUACUUGCAAUACUUUGACAUUGUGUAUAGUUUGUAUGUGUGUAUACAAAGUAUGAACAUGUGCUGGAAUAAAUCUAACAUGAAACAAUGAG
This is a non-coding RNA of Biomphalaria pfeifferi, 325 nucleotides long. The record is from the annotation of a GenBank genome assembly. NCBI's taxonomy places the organism in Eukaryota, Metazoa, Mollusca, Gastropoda, Planorbidae.